This 146-nucleotide ribosomal RNA is filed under the name Olea europaea subsp. europaea. Its description in RNAcentral is "SSU_rRNA_bacteria". Lineage: Eukaryota; Viridiplantae; Streptophyta; Magnoliopsida; Lamiales; Oleaceae. The record is from RNAcentral.
UGCCUUGCUGUCAGCUCAUAGCAAAGUAUUGGGUUAAGCCCCACGGGCGCAACCUUCAUGAUUACUUGUCAUAGUUGAGUUUUAGAUUUCAAAUAGACUGCCCAUGACAAACACGAAAAAGUUGAGGAUGAUGUUAAGUCAACAUA